Molecule: long non-coding RNA, 1811 nt
Organism: Octopus bimaculoides (California two-spot octopus)
Lineage: Eukaryota; Metazoa; Mollusca; Cephalopoda; Octopoda; Octopodidae
Source: RefSeq, a predicted model, not a curated record
UAGGGUAGAGAGGACCAAGAAUUUUGAGUAGAACAGAAAGAAGCUACAAUUUUCGCUCGUAAUCUGACACACAUGUCAGCGCCUAGAGGCUAUUAAUUUUCAAAGGCCUAUAAUAGUAAGAAUAAAGAGAAACUUUCUGUCUAUAUGUACAAUCGAAAGUUGCUUCUGAUAAAUAGGAGGAGGAACUUAGAAAUUCCAACUUGAUCAUCAAGAUAAGUACCCCGUUUGCUACCAAGUAGUACAAUAAUUAUAAUGGGAGAGAGUCAGCUCUCUCUCUUUCUUUCUCGGGUUACGGUGACUUUAGAGGAGGGAUGAGUAGAAUAAGUGUGGCUGGUGGCCAAACCCUUGAGGCCGUCGAUAGAAAGUUUUGACAAAAUUUCGGUAAGUUCCGCCACUGUCCGGCUGCCACUGUUGGAAAAAAAUAGCACUUGGGUUAGGGAAGGAAAACAGUAAACAAUGUCGGGAGAAAUGUUACUUCCAUCCAUUUUUAGUGGGUGGUUUGUCGUCUGACUCUAGUUGUGCGUGUCUCCCCUUCCUCUUUCUCCUUCUCCUUCAUUAUAUAUACUUAUAUGUGUGUGGGUUUGGGUGCUGUCUCUGGAUGCGUUGUAGUUAUCACACGCCUCCGCCACAGACUACUAUUUAACAAAAACUGACAGACACUACAUUUGGUUGCUCUCUGCUACAUUGGACACGUCCUAUUUUAUCUAACAAGAAAGUGUAAAAACCCAAAUAUCUGACCCGAUAGAGUGUGAUUUAUCUAAUUCGCUUAUAAAAAUAUUUCUUAGAAGUCACCCAUUAUUGACAUUUGAAAUGGAUGACUGAAAAUUUCAUAUUCGCCUUGUAAUGCUUUCCUUUUCCUAAAAAAAAGGAGAAAAUGCUGCAAAGACUUGCAAAAACAUUUUAUGUUGAAAUUUAUGGUGAUGAUGCUGUAGGUGAAUCAACUGGUCGAAAAUGGUUUGCAAAAUUUAAAGCUGGAGAGUUUAGCUUGGAAGAUGACAGUCACUGUGGAGGACCUUCAAAAUUGGAUGAAGAUGUUUUGAAGGCAAAAAUCGAAGAAAACUCAAGUAUCACGACUAGAGAACUUGCAGAGGAGUUGGAAGUUUCUAAAAGUAUGGCUCAUGAACACCUAGUGAAGCUAGGAUACUUUUCUCACUAUAAUGUAAGGGACCUUCACAAACUCUCAGAAAAGAAUUGCUUGGACUGGUAUUCUGUUUGUGAUAUGCUUUUGAAAUGGAAUCAAAAAAUGGCUGGAGAUGAAAACUAGAUUGUGAACGAAAACAUAGUAUGAAGAAGAUCCUUGAGUUUGUGUAAGAAUCCCCCAAAACAGCAACCAAAGAUGAAUAUCCAUGCCAAAAAAUCUAUGCUUUGUGUUUGGGAUCAUAAAGGCAUUAUUUAUUAUGAGCUUCUCCCACAAAACCAGACCAUUAAUUCUGAUGUGUACUGAUGUCAACUGGCUAAUUUGAACCAACAAAUCAAAGAAUUAAGGCUGGAGAUGAUUGCCAACAAGAAAGGGGUAGUGUUCUAAUAAGACAACGCCCGUCUACAUGAACUUGGCUGGGAUCUCUUACUCCAUUCACCAUAUUCUCCUGAUACUGUGCCAUCUGACUACCACUUGUUUUUUCUCUACAGAACUUAUUGCAAGGAAAAACAUUUAAUGAUUUAGAUGGAGUUAAAAUGCAUCUAGAUAACUUUUUGUCUUAAAGACCAGUCAAAUUUCAUGCUAAUGGAAUAUUUAAGUUACCUAAUAGAUUGGCAAGGGUCAUUAAUAAUAAUGGAAAUUAUUUCAUUGAGUAAAAUUUAUUGAAAGGUCA